RNAcentral lists this ribosomal RNA (253 nucleotides) under uncultured bacterium. Its description in RNAcentral is "partial 16S ribosomal RNA". It matches the Rfam family "Bacterial small subunit ribosomal RNA", at positions 524 to 776 of the family's 1533-position model. The record is from RNAcentral.
UACGUAGGGUCCAAGCGUUAAUCGGAAUUACUGGGCGUAAAGCGCACGUAGGCGGCUCUUUAAGUCGGAGGUGAAAUCCUGGAGCUCAACUCCAGAACUGCCUUCGAUACUGUAGAGCUUGAGUUCGGGAGAGGUGAGUGGAACUGCGAGUGUAGAGGUGAAAUUCGUAGAUAUUCGCAAGAACACCAGUGGCGAAGGCGGCUCACUGGCACGAUACUGACGCUGAGGUGCGAAAGCGUGGGGAGCAAACAGG